AAAAAGUGUGAUAAUUUGGAACUAAAAUGUUGUUGACAUUUUUAUAUUUAUGUAAAGAUCUGCUCUAAAUUGUCUAAAUCUUGUUUUUGCGCAGUAUUAUUUAUGCAGCAAAAAAUGGUCAUGACAGGACGCCAUUGUUCGUUGUUGGAAGUUCUUUUACAAUUUUUCUGAUUUUUUGGUAGAAAAAGUGGUUCUUCAGUGCACUAUUUGAGCUUACUCGGUUCCUUAAGGCCUGUUUAAUCUCCUGUAAAUGAGUUUUAUUUCUUUACACAUCCAACAUGUAAAGACCAGCUACGAGAAGAGACCUUGGUCACCCCUCAUAUAAUCCUGACUUUUGUCUAUCAUUCUGGUUUAUGAGAUUGGUUUUACUUUAUCCAGUUAAAAAUUUUGUACGACAAAUCGAUGGAUGUAUACAGUUCCAGGGCAGUAAUUUCUAGUUUUAUAAAAGAUAUUUAAACAUUCUUUGAAAACGCUGUUUGUGUAUAAAAUAUACCGUAAGAUCAAAAAAAACGGCGUCAGAGAUAGCUUGGGAAUUAAGAUCACCGUUAUUUUAUAUGUAAAUUUAUAUCGGGAAUUUCAACAAUUGUUAUUCCAAAGCCAACUGGGCGCCUUUUUUUUUCGAUCAUACCAUAUAUUAUAUUUAAACGUUCUUUGAAAACGCUGUUUGUGUAUAAAAUAUACCAUAAGAUCGGAAAAAAAACGGCGUCAGAGAUAGCUUGGAAAUUAAGAAAACCCGUCAUUUUGUAUUUAAAUUUAUAUUGGAAAUUUCAACAACUGGUAUUUCAGAGCCAACUGGACGCCGUUUUUUUUUCGAUUCUACCAUAUAUAUUUAAACGUUCUUUGAAAACGCUGUUUGUGUAUAAAGUAUAUACAUUAAGAUUGAGAAAAAAACGGCGUCAGAGAUAGCUUGGAAAUUAAGAAAACCCGUAAUUUUGUAUGUAAAUUUAUAUUGGAAAUUUCAACAAUUGUUAUUUCAAAGUCAACUGGACGCCGUUUUUUUUUCGAUCAUACCAUAUAUAUUUAAACGUUCUUUGAAAACGCUGUUUGUGUACAAAAUAUACCCUAAGAUCGAAAAAAACGGCGUCAGAGAUAGCUUGGAAAUUAAGUUCACCAUCAUUUUGUAUGUAAAUUUAUAUUUGAAAUAUCAAGAAUUGGUAUUUCAGAGCCAACUGGACGCCGUUUUUUUUUUCGAUCAUACCAUAUAUAAUUAAAUGUUCUUUGAAAACGCUGUUUGUGUAUAAAACAUACCGUAAGAUCGAAAAAAAACGGCGUCAAAAAUAGCUUGGAAAUUAAGAUCACCAUCAUUUUGUAUGUAAAUUUAUAUUGGAAAUUUCAACAAUUGGUAUUUCAGAGCCAACUGGACGCCGUUUUUUUUCGAUCUUACCAUAUAUAUUUAAACGUUCUUUGAAAACGCUGUUUGUGUAUAAAAUAUACCGUAAGAUC
Molecule: long non-coding RNA, 1443 nt
Organism: Sitophilus oryzae (rice weevil)
Lineage: Eukaryota; Metazoa; Arthropoda; Insecta; Coleoptera; Curculionidae
Exons: 4
Source: RefSeq, a predicted model, not a curated record